This 479-nucleotide ribosomal RNA is filed under the name uncultured bacterium. RNAcentral's name for it is "bacterial SSU rRNA". It matches the Rfam family "Bacterial small subunit ribosomal RNA", at positions 30 to 511 of the family's 1533-position model. The record is from RNAcentral.
AUUGAACGCUGGCGGCAUGCCUUACACAUGCAGGUCGAACGGCAGCGGACCUUCGGGUGCCGGCGAGUGGCGAACGGGUGAGUAAUAUAUCGGAACGUACCUUUCAGUGGGGGAUAACGUAGCGAAAGUUACGCUAAUACCGCAUAUUCUGUGAGCAGGAAAGCAGGGGAUCGCAAGACCUUGCGCUGAUUGAGCGGCCGAUAUCAGAUUAGCUAGUUGGUGAGGUAAAGGCUCACCAAGGCGACGAUCUGUAGCGGGUCUGAGAGGAUGAUCCGCCACACUGGAACUGAGACACGGUCCAGACUCCUACGGGAGGCAGCAGUAGGGAAUAUUGGACAAUGGGGGGAACCCUGAUCCAGCCAUGCCGCGUGAGGGAGAAGGUCCUCUGGAUUGUAAACCUCUUUUGGCAGGAAACAAACCUGCGCUAUACGCGCAGCUGAGGGUACCUGCAGAAUAAGCACCGGCUAACUCCGUGCCAG